GCCAUAAUAGGAAUCUGUUGUCCAAGGCAAGUAGACUGUGUCACCAGGAUGAAAAAAGGAUAAGGAGACCCCAAUAAUUAAUGACUUGCGAGAAUUUUAACUUAACCCCCAGGUUUCGUCAAAGAGUUCCUUCAGUGUGUGUCCUGCUCAGUCGACAGUUAGGCCCUAACCCGGCAGCAUAAUUUAACCUUUUUAUACACUGUAGCUUUCAAGCAGACAACAGGUUCAUUAGAGCUAAACUCAAGAGGCAGCAAUUCCCAGAGCACCUGCCUUGCAAAGACUUCUCAUUGAGCUGCAUUGGGAGGUCUGUGAUUGGACGUUAGAAGUGGAGGGCAUGCAAAGGCUGCAGAUAAGAAAACUUUUACAAUCGCUUUUUAAAUAUAACCCCAAUGGGAAAAAAAAUGCAUAAUUAAAUGCAUGUUUUCGUUUUAAGUUUAUAUGCUACACUAGUGGUUCCCAAACUUUUUUCUCUUGAGUACGCCUUGGCAGCCCAUUUCCACAAAUUGUACCCCUUAUAUUAGCGAAAUAUUUGUAAUUAUUAUAGUUGCUGUUAUUUCAACUUGAUAUGCUUUUCUGUGUCCCAUCUCCCCCUUUCUUUGUUCCAGGCUCACCAUAGUGCAGAUACACACACACACACACACACAGACUGACACACAUGCAGAUACACAGAUACAAAUUCUGACACAGAUACAAACACUGACAUACAUACAGAUAUACAG
Non-coding RNA from Pelobates cultripes (western spadefoot toad), 719 nucleotides. The record is from the annotation of a GenBank genome assembly. Lineage: Eukaryota; Metazoa; Chordata; Amphibia; Anura; Pelobatidae.